UUUGCAAAGAAGCAGGGUUUCAAUUAAUUAGAAUACACAUGCAUGCCAUUGGAGUGAAAUCUUGGAUCAUGCAUGCUAAUAUGGUCCAUAAUUAAUUAAACAGCUUUAUUAGUCAAGCAGCAGCUAUACAUAGUAGUAGUAGCAAUAAGGACAGAGAGCAGGCAGGCAGAAAGAAAGAAAGAGCAGGGAAGAAGGUGCUCUGCUUAAGUCCUAAUAUGGGGAGGUAGCUCGAGCUCGAUCAGUCAGUUGUGAUGUGUACUCCGAUGACGAUGACGAAGAGGGCGA
This 285-nucleotide long non-coding RNA is filed under the name Brachypodium distachyon (stiff brome). Its description in RNAcentral is "long non-coding RNA (BDIS_LNC002430)". The record is from RNAcentral. Lineage: Eukaryota; Viridiplantae; Streptophyta; Magnoliopsida; Poales; Poaceae.